CAAUUUGUAAUUUGGAACAAGCAUCAAAAGCAUGAUAGAAUAAUUAUUUUAUCAUAUACCUAAUAGACCAGAUUGUGUGAUCAUUAUGUGCCCUUAUGCAAGACUUCAAUCUAACUUUAAUGAAUCAUAUUUUAUUGAUAACAAAUAAAUCAUAAUCUGAAUUUUGAUAGAAACAACCAUUUAAGAUAAGUUGAUUAAAACUUAGCUAACAUGUCUUAUUGAUAAUUAUCUUAAGCAAAUAGAAUCUAAGCUAAAUUGAUGUUGAAAAUAAGAAAUUGAUUUGAUCUUGAUAAAUCCUUCUAUUGUCUCACAUGCUUGUACUUGAACCAUAUUGGUUAAUGAAACCAUCUCUUUAGUUCAAGUGAUAUGUGCUUGCUUAUACUUAGGGAAUCUCUUGAGUAAAGUGACUCAACAUUCAACUAGUAUCAUAUCUUAUAUCGAGUCAUCUAGUUAAAAAUAUGGUGGAUGAAUGUUUUGUAUCUUGAAGAAACUAAUAACUUUCUUUCAAGGAAGAAAAGGAGCUUGCAGGAUCCUUGAGCAAGAAAAUGAGAGAUUUCAACUUGAAGGAUAUCUCCACGUAAGAUACAAUAAACAUUCUCAUGCAAACAAGAGAGAGGACCUUCUUCAGCCAAAAGUUCAUACAUAAGAAAUCUAGUAGGUAUAUGACUGAAGAAUGCAGAAUGGAUUGGUAAUUCUAGAUACCUCUCUCAUAAAUUAAUUGAGCAAAGUCAAUAACUUAAAUCUUAGUAUGGCAUGGUUAAAAUCUUUAAUUAUUAAUUCCUUGAUAUCAUGUCUAUAUAUAUGUAUUGAUUGACUUAUGCUUUUAGAAAUUGUUUCAUGGUUUGCCCAAACUAAAAUAUAUCUUUGCCUAUGUCAUAACCAUGAACUACACAAGUUUAUGCUUAAAAUUUUUGAUUUAAAAUGACUUGUGAGAAGCUACGAAUUCUUGGGCAUAAUAAAAAUGUUGUUUGCAUGAUAUACCUCUAUAUGAUACAUUUGAAUAUUUCUUUAUUCUGCUCUUUCAUGUAAAUUACUUGAGAAUAACAAAAUGAAAGAGAGAUAAAGAAAAGAAAAUGAACAUUAUUCAAGAGAAGUAAAGAUCUAAGUAAAAGGCAAAUACUUCAAUCUUAAGGAAAAGCAAAACAAGCAUAAUAUAUUUGGCACAUUUGGAAGGAAUAAAAUCCAUAAUUAAUUACACUUAAACAGGGAGAAUUUGAAGUAAACAUUUUAACCUUUCUAUAUUGCUCAUCAUAGGAAUGGUGCCAAUGGGGAGGCUAGUGGUAGUACCCGGCACUAUUUGAUCCAACUAUUCGGUGUAGGGCAUAUUAGGGACGGCACAAGAGGGAGGCUAGUGGUAGUACCUCGUGCCCCUUCCCAACUCCACCGGAUAGGGAGCAAAUAGAGUAUAAAGCAUAAGAAAGUAAAAAUGAAAGACAAAGUUAAUGAAAUUAUAUAAGAAGAAUCAAGUCAAAUUUAUUAAUCACUUGAAAACACACUUUAAGGAUGAAAUCAUUGCAAGAUAAUACUUAAACAGGGGGAGUUUAUUUGAAAA
This 1552-nucleotide long non-coding RNA is filed under the name Phoenix dactylifera (date palm). RNAcentral describes it as "long non-coding RNA (PDAC_LNC014382)". The record is from RNAcentral. Lineage: Eukaryota; Viridiplantae; Streptophyta; Magnoliopsida; Arecales; Arecaceae.